Molecule: ribosomal RNA, 358 nt
Filed under: uncultured bacterium
Lineage: Bacteria
Description: bacterial SSU rRNA
Rfam family: Bacterial small subunit ribosomal RNA
Source: RNAcentral
CAACACACGCAAGUCGUGGGAGAAGGAGUCUCUUUGGAGACUCUGGAGACCGGCGGAUGGGUGAGUAACGCGUAGGCAACCUGCCCGGGAGACGGGGAUAACCCACCGAAAGGUGAGCUAAUACCCGAUGAUGCAGCGGCCCCGCAUGGGGACAGUUGUUAAAGGCCUUCGGGCGCUUUUGGAUGGGCCUGCGUGUCAUUAGCUAGUUGGUAGGGUAACGGCCUACCAAGGCGAUGAUGACUAGGGGGUCUGAGAGGAUGAUCCCCCACACUGGGACUGAGACACGGCCCAGACUCCUACGGGAGGCAGCAGUGAGGAAUCUUGCGCAAUGGGGGAAACCCUGACGCAGCCACGCCGC